GACGAACGCUGGCGGCGUGCUUAACACAUGCAAGUCGAACGGACAGGCCCUGCUUUUGUGGGGUGCUCGAGUGGCGAACGGGUGAGUAACACGUGAGUAACCUGCCCUUGACUUUGGGGUAUCUUCACGGGACUGGGGCUAAUACCGGGUAGGAGCUCCUGCUGCGUGGGGGUGGUUGGAGAGAUUCGGCGGUUGUGUCUGGACUCGCGGCGUAUGAGCUUGUUGGGGGGGUAGUGACUUACCCAGGAUUGGACGGGUAGCCGGCCUGGGAGGGAGACCGGCCACAGUGGCACUGGGGUACGGCCCGGAGGCAUACGGGAGGAAGCGGUGGGGACCAUUGCAAAAAGGGCGGAGGCAGGAUGGAGCAACGCCGCGUGGGGGAUGACGGUUUUCGGGGUGUAAACCGCUUUCGCGUGUGACGAAGCGUGAGUGCGGGUAAUGGGUAAAGAAGCACCGCCAAAUUAGGU
RNAcentral lists this ribosomal RNA (467 nucleotides) under uncultured bacterium. Its description in RNAcentral is "partial 16S ribosomal RNA". It matches the Rfam family "Bacterial small subunit ribosomal RNA", at positions 28 to 506 of the family's 1533-position model. The record is from RNAcentral.